This 68-nucleotide transfer RNA is filed under the name Ictidomys tridecemlineatus (thirteen-lined ground squirrel). Its description in RNAcentral is "Spermophilus tridecemlineatus (thirteen-lined ground squirrel) tRNA". It matches the Rfam family "tRNA". Rfam says of the family: Transfer RNA (tRNA) molecules are approximately 80 nucleotides in length. Their secondary structure includes four short double-helical elements and three loops (D, anti-codon, and T loops). Lineage: Eukaryota; Metazoa; Chordata; Mammalia; Rodentia; Sciuridae. The record is from Rfam by way of RNAcentral.
GGGGUUGUAGCUCAGUGGUAGAGCGCUUGCCUUACAUGCAUGAGGCCUUGGUUCAAUCCUCAGCACCA